UGGCUCAGUGGUAAGAGCACUGACUGCUCUUCCAGAGGUCCUGAGUUCAAUUCUCAG
RNAcentral lists this transfer RNA (57 nucleotides) under Rattus norvegicus (Norway rat). It matches the Rfam family "tRNA", at positions 8 to 63 of the family's 71-position model. Rfam says of the family: Transfer RNA (tRNA) molecules are approximately 80 nucleotides in length. Their secondary structure includes four short double-helical elements and three loops (D, anti-codon, and T loops). The record is from Rfam by way of RNAcentral. Lineage: Eukaryota; Metazoa; Chordata; Mammalia; Rodentia; Muridae.